RNAcentral lists this unclassified non-coding RNA (345 nucleotides) under soil metagenome. RNAcentral describes it as "partial contains 5.8S ribosomal RNA, internal transcribed spacer 2, and large subunit ribosomal RNA". The stretch from base 1 to 120 matches the Rfam family "5.8S ribosomal RNA", at positions 35 to 154 of the family's 154-position model. The record is from RNAcentral.
GAUGAAGAACGUAGCGAAAUGCGAUAAGUAAUGUGAAUUGCAGAAUUCAGUGAAUCAUCGAGUCUUUGAACGCACAUUGCGCCCCCUGGUAUUCCGGGGGGCAUGCCUGUCCGAGCGUCAUUGCUGCCCUCAAGCACGGCUUGUGUGUUGGGCCGUCGUCCCCCUCCUAGGGGACGGGCCCGAAAGGCAGCGGCGGCACCGCGUCCGGUCCUCGAGCGUAUGGGGCUUCGUCACCCGCUCCGUAGGCCCGGCCGGCGCUUGCCGACGACCAUCAAUCUCUUUCUCCAGGUUGACCUCGGAUCAGGUAGGGAUACCCGCUGAACUUAAGCAUAUCAAUACGGAGGA